Molecule: ribosomal RNA, 459 nt
Filed under: uncultured bacterium
Lineage: Bacteria
Description: bacterial SSU rRNA
Rfam family: Bacterial small subunit ribosomal RNA
Source: RNAcentral
UUGAACGCUGGCGGAAUGCUUUACACAUGCAAGUCGAACGGCAGCACGGGAGCUUGCUCCUGGUGGCGAGUGGCGAACGGGUGAGUAAUGCGUCGGAACGUACCGAGUAAUGGGGGAUAACGCAGCGAAAGCUGUGCUAAUACCGCAUACGCCCCGAGGGGGAAAGCAGGGGAUCGCAAGACCUUGCGUUAUUCGAGCGGCCGACGUCUGAUUAGCUGGUUGGUGGGUAAAGGCCUACCAAGGCGACGAUCAGUAGCUGGUCUGAGAGGAUGAUCCGCCACACUGGGACUGAGACACGGCCCAGACUCCUACGGGAGGCAGCAGUGGGGAAUUUUGGACAAUGGGGGCAACCCUGAUCCAGCCAUUCCGCGUGAGUGAAGAAGGCCUUCGGGUUGUAAAGCACUUUUCGGGAGGAUGAGGAAGGACGGUACUCCCGGAAUAAGUCUCGGCUAACUACGU